UGUCUGUUUUAGGAGUUUGUGGAGGAGCAACAUAAUGUUGCACAUGUGCCCCAGCUGCGGAGUUACUUUGGAAACCAAGGYACAACCAACUUCUCUCUGAGGCUGGCUGGUAUCRGACGUGCUAUGGAGGUGAGAAAGUGUGAAUUUCCCACCUUUUGUAUUUCAUUUGAUGUACAUUUCUGUACUAUUUCUAAAUGUACUGUCUUGUUCUCACAGGCUCUGACAUCCUCAGACAGUACCUCCCUUAAUUACCUCACCCACGCUGGGAGGAUGGUYUUGAGUGGCCUGUCCGAGCUCAACCAGCAGGAUGUGAGGCAGUUUCAGCAGGCCUACGUGGUUGGACUCCAUCUUCAACCUCGAUGAGUCCAUCUAUAAAAGCCCAGUGAGGCUCUCGUGGCAGGUGAUGGUGAAUCUAGAAAUGCAGGUUGACUUCCUCCUGUCCAGCCUGGAUUAAGGGUCCCAAACUGAGCUGAGGAUCCCAAAACACAAAUAAAGUAUUUUGCAUUUAAACAUUAUCUGUCCAUCUGAAACUAAUUUUACAUCAUGUCAAAACAAAUCAAAUCAAAUUGUAUU
Non-coding RNA from Salvelinus sp. IW2-2015, 573 nucleotides. Lineage: Eukaryota; Metazoa; Chordata; Actinopteri; Salmoniformes; Salmonidae. The record is from RefSeq and is a predicted model, not a curated record.